This 4524-nucleotide long non-coding RNA is filed under the name Calidris pygmaea (Spoon-billed sandpiper). Its description in RNAcentral is "lncRNA (ENSCPGG00000008134.1)". The record is from RNAcentral. Lineage: Eukaryota; Metazoa; Chordata; Aves; Charadriiformes; Scolopacidae.
AUGGAUCCUGUGAACCCUUCACUGGUCAAUGCACGUUUGUUAUCUCAUACUUUAGAUUCCCCUCUCAGGGACGAAUCAGUAGUGUGUCCUUCUUCAAGGAGCUCAAGUGAAAGUUUGAAUGCUUGUUGUAGUUCAGCCCUGACCUUGGGGGAUCUCGAUCCAUCUAGUUUGGAGUCCCUUCAAUCUAUUUUGCAGUCCUCACAGAUUUCUGCUGGCUUGUACUGUUCCAUCCAGAGGCUUAAGCAAGAAACUGCUUUGAUGGGGAUAAGGGGCUCUAUCCCUCUGGAGCCCAAGUCUUCUCCAGUCAGUGGCAGUUUCUGCUUUGCUGCUGCUGAUUCAUCUCCUAGUAUCCUGAGCAUAGGAGAACAGCUAGCUGGAGCGAAGACCAGUGCUGCUCAGGCAAGACUGAAAUGGGGUGUCCCAUUUGCUAAAGACUGGAGCCUUGGUGCAGUGACAAGGGACUUCAGUUGUGCAGAACCUCUCUCUGUCUCUCACAGAUAUGGGUACAUUGGCUCAAAUACAUGGAGAACCAAAAUUUCAGGUGACAUCCAGCCAAAAACCCACUCUUCUGGGGUGGGCUCUGGCAGGCUAGUGGAUACAGAAGCAGAUUCCCUCUACAGUUGCUCCCCUUAUUUCAGAUGCCAGUCCCAGGCAAAGCCAACUCUGGAAACUGGUAGUCUUUAUGUUCACACAAAAAGUCAUUCCCCUGGAAAGGUUCCUAAAGGCAAAGAGACAUCUGAUGGGUCAUCCCCAUGUGCUGCAUCUCAGAAGAAAGACCUUUCAGCCAGUCUGUGUCCAGAGGGUUUGCAGGUGUCACUAGAGACAGAUUUGGGGGGUGCUCAAAUGAAUGUUGGUGUAGCCAUGUAUGGGACCCCAAGGGAAGUGUGCGUGAGAGUCACUUCUCCUCCUGGAGAGAAAGAGUUCAGACCAGUCCAGCAGCUUAGUAUUAAAUCUGUAGGAGUCAACAAAUCUGAGCCUCGUGUUAAGUCCAGCAAAGAGUCGGGAGAGGUAUGUGACUCUAGAUCACGAGCAGCCAGAAGAGUGGAUCUGGUGGGCAGCAGCCAGUCCAGCCCUUUCGGUAUUCACGUUGAAGAAGGCUAUGGUGAACAUUCUGACAUGGAUUGUAUGAAUGUGAGCAGAGAAGUAAGGAGAAACAAACACUCCCACCAAAGCAGCUGGAAGAAUUGGGAAGCUGAUGCUAAUCUUGACCAGUCUGAAGAACCUUCUGUGGAGAGGAGUGCCAAAGAACCACGGUGCUGUGAAGAAGGAAACCAGACACAGGACACUGUGUCCAGAGAGGUCUCAGAGAACAGCUUCUGGUCAUUGAAGGUGAAUGAGCAAAGUUUCCAGCACUUGUGUAACAGAGAAAUGCUAACUAAAUGUUUCCAAGCAUGGAGGGGACACAUCCUCUGGAAAAGAGCUGCAGCCAGGCAGCUUUACAGACAGCAACUGCUUCGGAAGGGCCUUUGUGCUUUGAAGUGGGCUGUGCACCAGAGGAGGAUGCAGCUGGAGGUAGCUCGGCAGAGACACGCCUGGGCUCUGCUAGCUGUCAGCUUUCGCAGGUGGAAGGAAGCUGUGGUAAAACAGAGCAAGAAUCAAGCUCUACCGCCUGAGCCAUAUUCUUGUACCCAAAGUUCAUCGGUGGGAUCUUUUGGAGUAGGAAGAUUAGCAACUAUGACAACCUCAGCUCAGCAGCAGCUUACAGUAGGAUACUCAAAGGAAGCUGAGCAGGCUUGUAGGGUGGAGGGAGGUCUGUGGACACAGCUUCAUCGUAAGCAGAGAGGAGAUGAGUUCUGCUUGAGAGCUCAAGCAAUCAGAGAUAUGAGACGGCUAGCAGCUUUCAGACUGUGGCGCCUACAGAAGGAGCUACUGAGCAAAGAGGAAGCCAGGCUUUUGGAAGCUCGGGCUCUGCUGAAAAAGAAGCAGCUACGAAACACUUUCUGUUUGUGGCGUUCCCGAUGCUUGGAAAUGGAACAGAUUUUAGCACUGAGAACUCGGAUCCAAAGAAACUUGGUCUCCCGGUGCUUCAGUGCAUGGAAGGAGACUGUUGAGCAGAAGGCACUUUACAGGUGCAGCCUGGCCCAUCUCAGAGCAAUAUCACUGAGGAAAUACUUCCAGCGGUGGCUUCAGAUGCUGCAGGUCAGAGAAGGCGAUAAGCAGGCAAUGGUGAACUACUUCCUCCUACAGUGGUGGCAGCAUUAUGGUCCAGUUAUAAGCUCAGUAGCUGACAAAUCUACGACACAAAGGCAUGAAGAUCAACCAUUGUGGACUGUAGAGAGACGGUUUCCAGAGAAAAUGGGCUACUCUCUUGAUGACGUCUGCCAAAAGGUGGAGCUCCAGAGAGUAUAUCUGCUGUGGAAAGCAAGGCUGUGCGAGCAUCACAGAGCUGAUUCUUUCUCUCAGACUUUGGAGCAGUGUAGACUCAGAAAAGCUCUGAAAUUGUGGCACCAAAAGUGCCUCAUGCUGAAGACAAUUGAACAAAGUCCUAAGCACUUGCACAGGACUCUCUGUGAAGAGCCUCUUGCCAUGCUGUUUUCUGAGGACCUCUCAACAUCUUCUGGUUUUGACAGCAGUGCUCCAGCUACUCAGGCCUCUCAAAGCUCAUUGGAAAAGGAAUACAGUUUUAGUGACAGCAGCCAGCAGAGCUUCUCCUCUCUUCUGACUGCUGAGGAUGUCACACACAUGCCGUAUUACAGUUCUUUCCUGCAACUACACCAGUGCGCAGAGCUGCCAGCUGAGCUGGGAGGGGACCUGUACUUGCAGGCAUCCUUUCCUCCACGGAGUAUUGGGUAUGGAAGAAAUUGGUUUGUGGGAGGUCAGUUCCAGUCACUGGCACUGCAGAGUCCAGACAACAAUGUCCAGCCUCUCACAGGUUACUCUACAUGGGACGAGGACUGCAGUUCUGACAAGGAGGUGAAGAGCUGCUGGCACCAAGCAGAGAGAUGCUGCCUGCAGAGGUACUUUAUUGUCUGGUCAGCUCGAACUCAGCAACUUGUAAAGGCCCAGCAGUACUGCAGGCUCGUUCAGCUGUCUCGAGCCUUUCUCAGCUGGCACCAGUGGGUCAUGGAAAAUAAGAACCAAAAAGCAGCAGCAGCCCUAAAACAUCGAGUUCAUUGCUGCCAGAUGGCUUUCAGCCUGUGGAAGAAGAGGCUGGCCCAGAAAGUGGAAGCUGACCGGAGAUUCAGGUGUCACGUUUACCAGAUGACUGCUGAUGCUUUGUGGCGUUGGCAUUCCUGCUGGCAAAGGAAGCGUGCUUUGAGAGAGCUGCAGCAACGAUGGGCUCAGCACAGCUGCCAGGAGAAGAAGAGGUUGGUCCUGCAGACAUGGUAUUGCCAAACAAGGAAGCAGAAAUAUGCAGCUUUAUUCUGGGAACGUCUUCUCCUGCAGAGGUGCCUCGUCACCUGGGCCCAGGUCACUGCUUGUAGACUGAGGCAGCACGAAGCCCUCUCUCAUUUUAAAAGGCUCAGAGAGCACCGUCUCCUAGUUGUGAGCUUUACUGAGUGGAGGGUGAAAUUGUUGAGAGUUCAACAGCGGGUGGUGGGAGAGAGAAACCACAAGUGGCAGAAACCCUCUCAGGGCAAAGCCUGUCACCGCUGGCGAGUGGCCUCCAGAGGACAGCAAGCCCUGCGCCUGGGAUCUGUGGCUACGGUAAAACAGGCCUGCAACUACUGGACAAAAGCAGCUGCCUUUUCCCAGUGCUCACGGCAGUGCAGUACCCUGAUAGGUGCUAGGAAGAGCAGGAAGAUGUCUCUGUCUCGGUCCAUAAAAAGAAGAGGCAGAGAAAAGGGUUCAGCACCAGCUGUCCCUCUUGAGCUUUUUCCCAGUGCCGUUCACCGCUGGCUGAUGAUCUACAGAAACCAAAACAGGGCUGAAAGGCUACUGCUCCCUCACCUGGUAGAGAGAACUGGUGUGGUAGGACCCUCUCCUGCACUUGCAAGGAUCCAGGAGAAGAAGGCAGAGGUGGACUUGGAGGAGAGGGAUGAGAAGUGGCUUGGGAGGAAGUAUCUAAGGUGGUGGCAUCACACAGUGACACUUCGCCAGUGCCAGCGGGACAGGAGACUGCGCUGUCUGGCGAGGGUAUGGUAUCAGUGGAGGGAGGCCAGCAGGGUGGUGAUACUGGCUCAGGUGUUGGUGAGUAUCUGGUGCUGCCACCAGGGUGUUAGUGAUGGCUGUUACUGGGCAAGCCUGCUCUGCUUCCAGCCUCACACAGCCUCACUGGGAGAUGAGACCUGGGAUUUAACAAGUUCCAGUGUGCACCAGAAAUCCUGGUUUGCUAUAGUGGCUACUUUUGCCAUCUUUCUCUUUGAAAUGCCAGCAUGGCAGACUGGCAGAUGCACAUACUUAAUUGUGCUUUGCCCCAUCUUACAAAUGGGGAACUGAGACGGGAUGAUUUGUACAGAUUGCCUGUAGCCUGUGCGAAAAGUUCACAGCAAGUAUUACAAUUUGUGUUCCUGAUACAUCCCCCUGGUGUCCACAGCCUACCAAGGGCUGUCAUUUGGCCUCCCUUUCUGCUCAGGCCCUAGC